Long non-coding RNA from Mesoplodon densirostris (Blainville's beaked whale), 3160 nucleotides. RefSeq lists it as uncharacterized. The record is from RefSeq and is a predicted model, not a curated record. The transcript has 4 exons. Lineage: Eukaryota; Metazoa; Chordata; Mammalia; Artiodactyla; Ziphiidae.
UGCGCUGCAUAAUAGGAAGGGCCCCUCCCCCACCCAGAAGCACGCCCGGCUGCCGACCACUACGGCAGCCCUCGGCGCCUCAGUUUCCCGCUCCGAGCCUGCGAGUCGGCUCUCGGGACGUCCGGAGGGCCCGGCCGCAGGAAAAGCCUCGCCGACUCGGCUCCUCGCUCCACUCCUGCAUGGGCGAUUCGUCUGGCUCCCAACCUCGGAGCCCACCUCCCCAUUCUCUCUGUGAAGGCCCUGGAGCCUUCCCCAACGACUCCAACCUAUUUCCUCAAGGCAGCAAGACCCUGACCGCCUCACCGCGGGUCCUCGAACUCAACGAAGGCGAAGGGCGGUCCUCCGCGGCGGUUCUUCAGAUCGAUGUCGCGGAUAGCACCGUAUUUGUAGAACACGUCCUCAAUGUCCUUGGUUCGGAUGUCUGGAGGGAUGUGAGGCAGCUUACAGAGAUACCAUAAAACAUUACUAAAACUGGAUGGAGAAAUCAUGGGGAAAAUAAGGGAGGAGGAUUAAAAUGAAGGCAUCGAUAAGCUCAGGAGUCCCCAACCCCUGGGCCGAGGACCGAUACUGUUCGUGACCAGGCCGCUCAGCAGGAGAUGAACGGCAGUUUUUCCACAGACAAAAGGCAGUCUGGGACUUCCUUGGUGGUGCCGUGGUUAAGAAUCCGCCUGCCAAUGCAGGGGACAUGGGUUUGAGCCCAGGUCCGGGAAGGUCCCACAUGCUGCAGAGCAACUAAGCCCGUGCGCCACAACUACUGAGCCCACGUGCCACAACUACUGAAGUCCACGUACCUAUAGCCUGUGCUCUGCCACAGGAGAAGCCACCGCAAUGAGAAACCGGCGCACCACAACGAAGAGUAGCCCCCCGCUCGCCGCAAGUAGAGAAAGCCUGCGCACAGCACGGAAGACCCAAUGCAGCCAAUAAAUAAAUAAAUAAAUAAAUAUCUUUUUUAAAGGCAGGCUAAGGACAUGGGUGCGGGAGGGGCAAGGACCAUAGGGUCCUGGUCUAUUUCACUAUGACAAGGUCAGGGUGUAGCAAGAAAAGUCUGGAUGGCUGUUUGUCAAGGUCUCCUUGGGUGACAUUCGCUUGGAAAUCAUUACAUUUAAGGGUAUGAUCUAAUACUAUCAGUGUCCCAGAGUAGAUUGGCAUGUGUUAGUACACAAGAGUGACAAAUAAGAAGGCAAAUAAACCAAACCAUUCGUUCAUUUGUUGGGGGGUGAAGCAGAUUCAUUUUUGAUAACCGUGAUGUUCAAAUUGUACACACCAAGAAAACUUUUUGUCAGGUCUGGAAAGCAAAUCAGGCAGUUUCUUAGUAAAUAAGGAAUCAAAACAAAAUGAGGUGAAUCGCUUUGAGAGAUGUCUCGUUCAGAUCCUGGUGAAACCUGAUAAAUGAUCCCUGCCCCACAGCAGAGUGUACCUCUUCAAAGACAGGAAGACUCAUACCCUCUGGAUUUUGCAUCUCUGUUCCCUGAAUAGUGCUGGGUAAAGAUUGGCAAUUCUCUUUCUGUAGGCUAAUCUUCAUGCAAACUUUUCUCUGAACAGCGUACUAUACAAUUGAUCAGAUCUUUGCUGACCAGAUUACAGCCACUCGUUUUGCCUCCUGAGAUUACCUCCUCAUCUUAAUGAGGGCUUUAGAGUGUUUCUAAACUCCUCAGUUACACAGUCACAGACAGUUUUAUGGAUUGCUCUCACAAUUCAUUAAGUAUGGAUUUUACCAGUUUAAUUCUUAGAAGCUGCCUGUUCCAAUACUGUUGCUGUGUGUGUAAAGUGACUUCCUCAAAAAGAAAGUUUUUAAAUGCUUUCGAUUCAAUCCAGUAAGUAUAAACUAGUGCAGGCACUGUACCCUGGAAAUCAUUACUUGCGGAAAAAAGGAAAUUCAAAGAGUUAGUUACUGUAAGGGUUGAAAUCGCAAGACCCAGUUUUUCAGUGAUUUUCCUAACACUUAAGUCUACCUGUGGUGAUGGUUACACAAAUCUGUAAAUAUACCAAAAAACAUUGAACUGUACAAGUAAAGCAAGUGAAUUGUAUGGUAUGUAAAUUAUAACUCCAUAAAAAUUUUUUUAAAUGACUGGGGAAAAAAAUAUCUCCACAAUCAGCAAAAUCACUCUCCAGUACCAUUCCUCUAAAGGUGUUAUUAAGGCUUGGAGGUGUUCUAGAGUAAUUUGCACUGAAAUACGCCUUUCCUAAUCUGGACAUUCUGUUUUCAGUAUUUGUGUAUCAAUCCCUGCUGUCGUUUCUGGGGAUAACUGUUAGCUUUACUAGGUAGAGACACAAAGAUUAGGAGUACUUAAUUCAGCUGUGAAUAGCAGUUACUUCCAGAAAGAGUUCACUUGCAUAGUUCUCUAUUCCCUUGUUCCACCUGUUUAGUGAUUAAUAUUCUCUGAAAAAGGAAGAAAUAUUAAUAGUAUAUCUUUUUAUUUCAUUUAUAUUUGUUUCAUCUUCCCUAGUAAACUAGGUUGAGGACAGAUUUUUGCUGUAAUUCCCUUUAUUACCAGUACAUUUUCUGUUAAAAUGAAUAUUAUUGACUAUUUCCUGACUGCCCUUUGAAAAUAAUGGGACUUUAGAUGAGCAGAAUGUUGUUUCUAUGGAAACUGUAUCAUGUUUCUGUCAGUGGAUAGACACAAUGGGUACAAGGGUUGUUUUUCAUUUCACAGUGUAAUAAUGAUAGCCACUUUUCAAGCCCAGGUAAAUCAUCUAAUAAUACAGUCUUGGUAAUCUUAUUUUAGGACUGGCCUCCCUCAUUCUUUGAUUCUUCUUGUUUUGUUUUUGGCUAAUUCUGCCCAUCUUUACUGUCCCAUUACGGAUAACAAUAACAUGAUUUUGCCAGAAAGCAGCUCUCAAAAUGAUCUAUUACAAAGUGAUAUAUUUUUUCCAUGUCUCCCUCUUCCUAUUAAUAUUAUUACUCCCUCUCUCCCUCUUCUUGCUUAAUUUAAGUUCUUUCUCUUAAAAAUUAAAACACCAAAUCAUCAUGUUGUACAUUUCUUAAUUGGAGUAAAUGGCUGUUGAAAGAAUUAUAAUAAAAAUGUGGCAGAUAUCAUUUAUUUGCUAAAAAUGCUACCUUUUUUGGCAAUUUUAUCUUAUACUGUGAGUCCUAUAUAAGUGUUAGCUAUUAGUAGUAGUAGUAAUAAUGGUAUUAUAUGUUAAUGCGGCUGUCAAGUAU